RNAcentral lists this ribosomal RNA (685 nucleotides) under uncultured Bacteroides sp. Its description in RNAcentral is "bacterial SSU rRNA". It matches the Rfam family "Bacterial small subunit ribosomal RNA", at positions 15 to 690 of the family's 1533-position model. Lineage: Bacteria; Pseudomonadati; Bacteroidota; Bacteroidia; Bacteroidales; Bacteroidaceae. The record is from RNAcentral.
GAUCCUGGCUCAGGAUGAACGCUAGCUACAGGCUUAACACAUGCAAGUCGAGGGGCAGCAUGGUCUUAGCUUGCUAAGGCCGAUGGCGACCGGCGCACGGGUGAGUAACGCGUAUCCAACCUGCCUUACACUCUUGGACAGCCUUCUGAAAGGGAGAUUAAUACAAGAUGUUAUCAUGAGUAAGCAUUUUCACAUGAUUAAAGGUUUACCGGUGUAAGAUGGGGAUGCGUUCCAUUAGAUAGUAGGCGGGGUAACGGCCCACCUAGUCUUCGAUGGAUAGGGGUUCUGAGAGGAAGGUCCCCCACAUUGGAACUGAGACACGGUCCAAACUCCUACGGGAGGCAGCAGUGAGGAAUAUUGGUCAAUGGACGAGAGUCUGAACCAGCCAAGUAGCGUGAAGGAUGAAGGUUCUAUGGAUUGUAAACUUCUUUUAUACGGGAAUAAACGAAUCCACGCGUGGAUUUUUGCAUGUACCGUAUGAAUAAGGAUCGGCUAACUCCGUGCCAGCAGCCGCGGUAAUACGGAGGAUCCGAGCGUUAUCCGGAUUUAUUGGGUUUAAAGGGAGCGUAGAUGGGUUGUUAAGUCAGUUGUGAAAGUUUGCGGCUCAACCGUAAAAUUGCAAUUGAUACUGGCAGUCUUGAGUACAGUUGAGGUAGGCGGAAUUCGUGGUGUAGCGGUGAAUGCU